GAAGUGGUGUAGUUUCACAUUUUAUUAGUGAAGAAGUGUGAGAAUCUUCCUUUUGUGAUACUCUUGGUGUUGUUAUAUUGCAUAAGGACCAAACUCUUGUUGUGAAUAUGCAAGCACUAGUUGAUCCUUUAGAUGACAAAAUCAAUUCUUUUCGUAAGAAUGAUUUGUGUCCAUCUAGUGCUAGCACUUAUAACUUGAAUAAGGUUCCA
This 209-nucleotide long non-coding RNA is filed under the name Capsicum annuum. RNAcentral's name for it is "long non-coding RNA (CANN_LNC012549)". The record is from RNAcentral. Lineage: Eukaryota; Viridiplantae; Streptophyta; Magnoliopsida; Solanales; Solanaceae.